This 159-nucleotide microRNA precursor is filed under the name Eutrema salsugineum. RNAcentral describes it as "mir-399 microRNA precursor family". It matches the Rfam family "mir-399 microRNA precursor family". Rfam says of the family: mir-399 was identified in both Arabidopsis thaliana and Oryza sativa computationally and was later experimentally verified. mir-399 is thought to target mRNAs coding for a phosphatase transporter. The mature sequence is excised from the 3' arm of the hairpin. The record is from Rfam by way of RNAcentral. Lineage: Eukaryota; Viridiplantae; Streptophyta; Magnoliopsida; Brassicales; Brassicaceae.
GGUUGGAUUACAGGGCAAAUACUCCAUUGGCAGAUAGUUUUCGCUACAUCUAUGUUUAUACAUACAUAUACUGUAUAUACGUAUAUAAAUAAUUAUAUAGUGGUUGAGAUGUAUUAAAAAUUCUUUACUGCCAAAGGAGAUUUGCCCCGCAAUUCAUCC